CUCACAUUGGUAAGAAUUUUUCGAAACAUUUCAAACAUUACACCAUCCUAGCAUUCCUUCGCAUAAAACUUACGACAGAAACGAUAGUAUAAGAUUCGAUGUAGUACAAACUAUCUUUAUUGGCAAAAGAUUAGGUUUUCACUAUUAAAUCAGAAAAGAUAAGAUAGUACAGAGAUGCAUACUGCCACACAAGAGCAUUGAUCAGGUAUCAAUUUAUCUUUAACUGCUAUACAAAUCAGAUUUAAUCGACUCAUAUCUUCGAAGCUUACGCUCUUCAGAUAUGGGAAGUUUACAUU
Molecule: long non-coding RNA, 296 nt
Filed under: Mytilus galloprovincialis (Mediterranean mussel)
Lineage: Eukaryota; Metazoa; Mollusca; Bivalvia; Mytilida; Mytilidae
Source: RNAcentral